ACGUAGGGUGCGAGCGUUAAUCGGAAUUACUGGGCGUAAAGCCUGCGCAGGCGGUUCGCUAAGACAGGUGUGAAAUCCCCGGGCUUAACCUGGGAAUGGCGCUUGUGACUGGCGGGCUGGAGUACGGCAGAGGGGGGUAGAAUUCCACGUGUAGCAGUGAAAUGCGUAGAGAUGUGGAGGAACACCGAUGGCGAAGGCAGCCCCCUGGGAUGACACUGACGCUCAUGUACGAAAGCUAGGGGAGCAAACGG
This 251-nucleotide ribosomal RNA is filed under the name uncultured prokaryote. RNAcentral's name for it is "partial 16S ribosomal RNA". It matches the Rfam family "Bacterial small subunit ribosomal RNA", at positions 525 to 775 of the family's 1533-position model. The record is from RNAcentral.